This 301-nucleotide ribosomal RNA is filed under the name uncultured bacterium. RNAcentral's name for it is "partial 16S ribosomal RNA". It matches the Rfam family "Bacterial small subunit ribosomal RNA", at positions 509 to 809 of the family's 1533-position model. The record is from RNAcentral.
CAGCAGCCGCGGGAAUACGUAGGUGGCAAGCGUUGUCCGGAAUUAUUGGGCGUAAAGCGCGCGCAGGCGGAUCAGUUAGUCUGUCUUAAAAGUUCGGGGCUUAACCCCGUGAGGGGAUGGAAACUGCUGAUCUAGAGUAUCGGAGAGGAAAGUGGAAUUCCUAGUGUGGCGGUGAAAUGCGUAGAUAUUAGGAAGAACACCAGUGGCGAAGGCGACUUUCUGGACGAAAACUGACGCUGAGGCGCGAAAGCCAGGGGAGCGAGCGGGAUUAGAUACCCCUGUAGUCCCUGUCUCUUAUACA